Long non-coding RNA from Octopus sinensis (East Asian common octopus), 259 nucleotides. RefSeq lists it as uncharacterized. The record is from RefSeq and is a predicted model, not a curated record. Lineage: Eukaryota; Metazoa; Mollusca; Cephalopoda; Octopoda; Octopodidae. The transcript has 3 exons.
GGGGUUGAUAAAAUAAGUACCAGUGAAUCACUGGGGUCAAUGUAAUUGACAAUCCCUCACCCACAAAACUUCAGGCAUUGUACUUACAGUAGAAAGGAUUAUUAUUAUUAUUAUUAUUAUUAUUAUUAUUAUUAAGGAAGUGAGCUGGCUGAAUCAUUAGCAUGCUAGGUGAAAUGUUUAGUGGUAUUUCAUCUGUCUUUCCAUUGUAAGAUCAAAUUUUGCAGAGGCCAACAUCCUUUCGGAGUUGAUAAAAUAAGUA